RNAcentral lists this non-coding RNA (32 nucleotides) under Mus musculus (house mouse). The record is from RNAcentral. Lineage: Eukaryota; Metazoa; Chordata; Mammalia; Rodentia; Muridae.
UACAUGAACAGUAUUCAUAUUCAUAUAGGGCU